RNAcentral lists this long non-coding RNA (730 nucleotides) under Lynx canadensis (Canada lynx). RNAcentral describes it as "lncRNA (ENSLCNG00005019887.1)". The record is from RNAcentral. Lineage: Eukaryota; Metazoa; Chordata; Mammalia; Carnivora; Felidae.
GGCCAAGACGUAACCCUGAAGGGUCUGGCUCCUGGGCAGGACGUUACCCCACGCUCACUGCUCCUUAAAUACAUAUUCUCAACUUGCAGAAACCAGGUCUGGGCAUGGGCAUCGGGCAGUGGCUUCUAUUACCCCACACCACCCAGAGCAGCGACGGCCUGGCAGCCUGGGAAAAUGCAAUGUCUAUACCAACUCUGUUCUUCUCUUAGACUCCUGCUGUCCACCAGAGGAGGGAGAGCAGGGGACAUGAACCGUGGAGAGAAGACAGCCAGGCUUGUGGAGGACGGUUCCCCCCUGUCAGAGGUCUUGCUCUCUACUGGCUUUGCCCCAGGAAGGCCGCCAGGGAUAGGCAAGGGCAGACUGGGCCCUCCAGGGACCAAAGAUGGAACGAGAAGCGAGGCUGCUAAAAGCAAGUCUGCAUCCCGGACACACGCCCCACAAGCGCCCGGCACACUGUGUCCUUGUGGACUGGACGAGAGAACGAGCAAAGCAGUCCAGAGAGGGGCCAGCUCUGGCGUAGAGGACAAGCCAAGUAGGCGGACGAGACCCUGGGCUCUGUGAGCCAAGGGACCCCGCCCACCCCGUAUGCCUAACAAGUGGUCCCAGCAGCGACACCAGCCGCACGCGUGACACUUGGUGCACAUCACGACAGCCCCUUGAUCCACAGAGUCUCAUUAUGCAUCACCCCACUGCACAGAGGGGGAAACUGAGGCACAGAAAAGGCCAGCGC